Molecule: transfer RNA, 94 nt
Filed under: Isoptericola cucumis
Lineage: Bacteria; Bacillati; Actinomycetota; Actinomycetes; Micrococcales; Promicromonosporaceae
Description: tRNA-Ala
Source: RNAcentral
CGUCCCGUCGAGGGGGAUGCUCACCGGGGUCUCGCGCACCUCGAACUCGCCGACCUCGCCCACGGCGCCGGGGUCGGACGCCCCGUGGACCGUC